This 1017-nucleotide long non-coding RNA is filed under the name Phascolarctos cinereus (koala). RNAcentral's name for it is "lncRNA (ENSPCIG00000032265.1)". Lineage: Eukaryota; Metazoa; Chordata; Mammalia; Diprotodontia; Phascolarctidae. The record is from RNAcentral.
AUGACACCUCCUCCCCUGCACCACCACCUCCUCCUUCUCCUCCUCCUCCUCCUCCUCCUCCUUCUCCACGGCCGGGAAGCCGGGAGGGCCGUACCUGGCUGGGGAUGGGAGGGACUGCCCUGCCUUGGUGUUCGCCCUCCCCCGCCCCUACUGGAGGGGCCCGAGUGCCCUAGGUUCGGGCCGGUCCCGCCUCCUUUCCCGCCCCACCCUCUCCCUCCCAGGCGGGCCUUCCUAUCCCCUCCUGCCGGGCCCCACCCUCUUCACCACCUCUCCGGCCCCGCCCCACCCCUCCGAGGCUCCGCGCGCUCGCCCCACCCUCUCUCGGUCCCCCUCCCCCUCUCUCGGCCGCCGCGGCUGCUGCCGCUGCGGGUCCCUUUUAAGGAGCUCCACCCAGGGGCAGCCCAGGGUGGGGCUGUCAGCCCGUUCACACCUCAUCGCUCAGUUGGAGAGAGACGAGUCCGAGACCCAGGGAGAGGAGAGACCAGAGAUCCGAGAAAGACACCGAGCCCGACGCGGGGCCAGAGAGAGGGGGGAGGGUCCUCGAGGGCCGCCUGCCGGUCCCCUCCCCUCCGAGCCCCUCUGCGCCCCGCCCCGCCGAGCCCCGUACCUCCCCUGGUCUGCCUAGGCCGGGGCCGGCGGGCCGGCGGAGCCCAGCAGGGCAGGACCGGGCCGGGCAGGGCAGAUCGCGGCCGCCGCCGCCUCCACGCCAUCCAGCCCCGGGAGCAGUGGUCGCUGCUACGGCUGCUGAAGCCCCUGGUCCCGGCUCCGUCUGGGCGAGCGAGCCCCGAGGGCGCCUUCUGGGGCUGGGGGCCCGGGGCCAAGCAGCCGGAGGGCGGAUGGGCAGAGGCCGAGGGGGGCUCGCCUCCGCCUCCUCCUGGGAACCCCGGGCGCCCUUGGAGGCCCGCUGGGGAGCCGCCGCUAGGGGAGGGGGCCGCUAGGCACGGGGUCCCCCUCCUCUUCCCCCCCCCGCCCCUCGGCCGGAUGCCUCGUGCACGCCUCCGGGGUCCUGGGCGCUAG